Lytechinus pictus (painted urchin) is the source of this 1129-nucleotide long non-coding RNA. RefSeq lists it as uncharacterized. The record is from RefSeq and is a predicted model, not a curated record. The transcript is spliced from 2 exons. NCBI's taxonomy places the organism in Eukaryota, Metazoa, Echinodermata, Echinoidea, Temnopleuroida, Toxopneustidae.
UUGUGUGUAAUGCUUCUUGCCUAGCAAUGAAAAGGAAAGUUGUAUGGCAUUAACCAUUGUUAAUGAACCUUAAACAUGUUUUGCAUGACUCUUUUGUAUUAGCCUAUGUGUGUAGAUAGAUAGCUGUUGCUGCUGUAUUAGGAAAGUGGUGAGAAGACACACCCUAUGAAUCUGUCUUGGUGUGCAGGGGUGCGCAUUACCAGUUCUAGCCAAGAGAUAGCUGGAUUAUUUUCUGGUGAUAUUUAUUUGAAAGCCAGAAGAUGGACCUUUUCGUUGAAAGGUCUUUUUUACACUUAUAAUUUCCAAGUUUGUCCCGUACACUUCCAUCGAUGGCACAUUACCCAGAGCUUGGGAUUUUGAAAACAUCGUUGUAUCCUCCUUCCAAGUGUCAAUGAAGAUUGGUCAAGCAACUGGGCAUUCGAACCAACGUGCAUGGCGUCGUAGAGUGGAUACUAAGUGAACAUUAAUCACAUCAUGGUGAGCUGUAUCAAUUCAAAUUAAACUGACGAACAAUGACUCUAAUGAGAAGUGAACUACUUCACACUUUUGAGAGUGAUCACGAAACCAUUGAUAAAUUCUGUCAACAAGUGAAUUGCCCAAACGUUAUUGUAUUGGCCAAGAUGUAUUACAGAGCCAGUGAAAGCGUUACAGCUUGAGUUUAGUCUGAUUGUACAGAAUAGUUUGAGAGUUUAUUGACUCUCCGCAUGGAACAUCCAUAGUUGUAUUAAGAGGAUUGAGAGUUGGGAGAGAAUGGUCAUUGGAAGUGAGAUAUGUGGACAGUACAGGUCCACUAUACUCAUAUUUUAUGACAGAUCAUUGUAUUCGGAAGAGAAUUAUUACUUAUAAAUUGGAGUGUAGUCAUGGUAGUGAGGAAUUACAAGUAGUAACUCCUCAUGUGUUCAACUUAAUCUGAGGGGCUUGUUUAAACCCUGAAUUCCAUACUGAUACUGGUAUCGUUGAUUUAUGAGAAUUUUGUAAAUGUGCGCACAUAAUAUCUGACAAGUGGUUAUGUAUACGAAAGGACCGUAUCACCGAUGUGUAAGUGGUGAAUUUGGAUACUUGGAAUUUACUUAUGAUUAAAUGAUUGAUUUGUGGAGAUCGUAAAUGGCAUGUGUUUGUUAUCCUUAUU